RNAcentral lists this ribosomal RNA (462 nucleotides) under uncultured Desulfobulbus sp. Its description in RNAcentral is "bacterial SSU rRNA". It matches the Rfam family "Bacterial small subunit ribosomal RNA", at positions 924 to 1382 of the family's 1533-position model. Lineage: Bacteria; Pseudomonadati; Thermodesulfobacteriota; Desulfobulbia; Desulfobulbales; Desulfobulbaceae. The record is from RNAcentral.
CACAAGCGUGGAGUAUGUGGUUAAUUCGAUGCAACGCGAAGAACCUUACCUGGUCUUGACAUCCCGGAGACCCUUAGGAAACUAGGGGGUGCUUCCAUCUGGAAGAAUCUGGAGACAGGUGCUGCAUGGCUGUCGUCAGCUCGUGUCGUGAGAUGUUGGGUUAAGUCCCGCAACGAGCGCAACCCUUGCCUUUAGUUGCCAGCAGUUCGGCUGGGCACUCUAAAGGGACUGCCGGUGUUAAACCGGAGGAAGGUGGGGAUGACGUCAAGUCCUCAUGGCCUUUAUGACCAGGGCUACACACGUACUACAAUGGCCGAUACAAAGGGCAGCGACACUGCGAGGUGAAGCCAAUCCCGUAAAAUCGGUCUCAGUCCGGAUUGGAGUCUGCAACUCGACUCCAUGAAGUUGGAAUCGCUAGUAAUCGUGGAUCAGCAUGCCACGGUGAAUACGUUCCCGGGCCUU